UACGUAGGGCGCAAGCGUUGUCCGGAAUUAUUGGGCGUAAAGAGCGUGUAGGCGGCCUGGUAAGUCCGCUGUGAAAGUCCAGGGCUCAACCCUGGAAUGCCGGUGGAAACUGUCAGGCUCGAGUCCGGAAGAGGCGAGUGGAAUUCCUGGUGUAGCGGUGAAAUGCGCAGAUAUCAGGAGGAACACCAAUGGCGAAGGCAGCUCGCUGGGACGGUACUGACGCUGAGACGCGAAAGCGUGGGGAGCAAACAGG
This 253-nucleotide ribosomal RNA is filed under the name uncultured bacterium. RNAcentral describes it as "partial 16S ribosomal RNA". It matches the Rfam family "Bacterial small subunit ribosomal RNA", at positions 524 to 776 of the family's 1533-position model. The record is from RNAcentral.